GGUUUUAAUUCGAAGCAACGCGAAGAACCUUACCUGAUCUUGACAUCCCGAUGACCGCUUCGUAAUGGAAGUUUUUCUUCGGAACAUCGGUGACAGGUGGUGCAUGGUUGUCGUCAGCUCGUGUCGUGAGAUGUUGGGUUAAGUCCCGCAACGAGCGCAACCCCUAUCUUCAGUAGCCAGCAGGUUAAGCUGGGCACUCUGGAGAGACUGCCAGGGAUAACCUGGA
This 226-nucleotide ribosomal RNA is filed under the name uncultured bacterium. Its description in RNAcentral is "partial 16S ribosomal RNA". It matches the Rfam family "Bacterial small subunit ribosomal RNA", at positions 945 to 1167 of the family's 1533-position model. The record is from RNAcentral.